CAGCCGCCGCGGGAAUACGUAGGUGGCAAGCGUUGUCCGGAAUUAUUGGGCGUAAAGCGCGCGCAGGUGGUUUAAUAAGUCUGAUGUGAAAGCCCCCGGCUCAACCGGGGAGGGUCAUUGGAAACUGGUUGACUUGAGUGCAGAAGAGGAGAGUGGAAUUCCAUGUGUAGCGGUGAAAUGCGUAGAUAUAUGGAGGAACACCAGUGGCGAAGGCGACUCUCUGGUCUGUAACUGACGCUGAGGCUCGAAAGCGUGGGUAGCAAACAGGAUUAGAUACCCCUGUAGUCCCUGUCUCUUAUAC
This 301-nucleotide ribosomal RNA is filed under the name uncultured bacterium. RNAcentral describes it as "partial 16S ribosomal RNA". It matches the Rfam family "Bacterial small subunit ribosomal RNA", at positions 509 to 807 of the family's 1533-position model. The record is from RNAcentral.